UGGGGAAUAUUGCACAAUGGGGGAAACCCUGAUGCAGCGACGCCGCGUGAGCGAAGAAGGUUUUCGAAUCGUAAAGCUCUGUCCUAUGGGAAGAUAAUGACGGUACCAUAGGAGGAAGCCCCGGCUAACUACGUGCCAGCAGCCGCGGUAAUACGUAGGGGGCAAGCGUUGUCCGGAAUCACUGGGCGUAAAGGGUUCGCAGGCGGAAAUGCAAGUCAGUUGUGAAAGGCAGAGGCUCAACCUCUGUAAGCAAUUGAAACUGUAUUUCUUGAGAUGUGGAGAGGCAAGUGGAAUUCCGAGUGUAGCGGUGAAAUGCGUAGAUAUUAGGAAGAAUACCGGUGGCGAAGGCGACUUGCUGGACACAAACUGACGCUGAGGAACGAAAGCGUGGGUAGCAAACAGG
RNAcentral lists this ribosomal RNA (403 nucleotides) under Fusobacteriota bacterium. RNAcentral's name for it is "Fusobacteria bacterium partial 16S ribosomal RNA". It matches the Rfam family "Bacterial small subunit ribosomal RNA", at positions 355 to 776 of the family's 1533-position model. Lineage: Bacteria; Fusobacteriati; Fusobacteriota. The record is from RNAcentral.